UAUUCUUCACAAAAAAUGUCCCGUUAUUGUAUUGGCUCAACAACAGUUACAACGACUUCUAGAUGAAACGGAUAAAUUACUUUGUGAUAAUAGUCAUUGUUGCAGAUCUAUAUACGAUGUUUUUAAGUUAUUUAAAGAAGUAAUAUGGAAUCAACAUAAAUGUAACUGUGCUCUUACAUUUAUAAUCCUACUAACGUUUAUCAUAGGCCUUAUACUCGGCGCAGCUUCAUGUGGAACUAGCCUGCGGAAGUUUAAUAGCCCUAUUCUUUCGUGUAUUGAUAAUUUAUUCAUAUCAGAUAAAU
This 302-nucleotide unclassified non-coding RNA is filed under the name Melitaea cinxia (Glanville fritillary). Its description in RNAcentral is "misc RNA ENSMCXG00005005034.1". The record is from RNAcentral. Lineage: Eukaryota; Metazoa; Arthropoda; Insecta; Lepidoptera; Nymphalidae.